ACUCCUACGGGAGGCAGCAGUGGGGAAUAUUGCACAAUGGGCGCAAGCCUGAUGCAGCCAUGCCGCGUGUAUGAAGAAGGCCUUCGGGUUGUAAAGUACUUUCAGCAGUGAGGAAGGUGGGUAUGUUAAUAGCAUACUCAUUUGACGUUAGCUGCAGAAGAAGCACCGGCUAACUCCGUGCCAGCAGCCGCGGUAAUACGGAGGGUGCGAGCGUUAAUCGGAAUUACUGGGCGUAAAGCGCAUGCAGGUGGUUUGUUAAGUCAGAUGUGAAAGCCCGGGGGCUCAACCUCGGAAUUGCAUUUGAAACUGGCAAACUAGAGUACUGUAGAGGGGGGUAGAAUUUCAGGUGUAGCGGUGAAAUGCGUAGAGAUCUGAAGGAAUACCGGUGGCGAAGGCGGCCCCCUGGACAGAUACUGACACUCAGAUGCGAAAGCGUGGGGAGCAAACAGGAUUAGAUACCCUGGUAGGCUCU
Molecule: ribosomal RNA, 472 nt
Filed under: uncultured bacterium
Lineage: Bacteria
Description: bacterial SSU rRNA
Rfam family: Bacterial small subunit ribosomal RNA
Source: RNAcentral